This 407-nucleotide ribosomal RNA is filed under the name uncultured bacterium. RNAcentral's name for it is "partial 16S ribosomal RNA". It matches the Rfam family "Bacterial small subunit ribosomal RNA", at positions 28 to 526 of the family's 1533-position model. The record is from RNAcentral.
GACGAACGCUGGCGGCGUGCCUAAUACAUGCAAGUAGAACGCAGUUGCGCACGGGUGAGUAACACGUAUGUAACUUCCUCAUAGCGGGGGGAAACUAAUUGGAACCAUAGCUAAUACCGCAUUCUGUGAGAUGGACCUGCGUUGUAUUUGCUAGUUGGUGAGGUAAAGGUCCACCAAGGCGACGAUACAUAGCCGACCGGAGAGGGUGAUCCGCCCAAAUGGGACCGAGACACGGCCCAGUAUCCUAAGGGAGGGAGGAGUAGGGAAUCAUCGGAAAUGGACGGAAGUCUGAACGAGCAAAGGCGGGUGAGUGAAGAAGGUUUUCGGGUGGGUAAGCGAUGUUGUUAGAGAAGCGUUAACUAAACAGAAAGGGACGGCUAACUACGUGCCAGCAGCCGCGGUAAUAC